CAGCCAAUGGCUUCACGCAGUCCCACACCUGCUCUGGUGUCCCAUUCACGAUGCCUUCUCCCCGGUACCUGGAGCACAAAAGAGGAAUCGGAAGAGUACACG
This is a non-coding RNA of Vicugna pacos (alpaca), 102 nucleotides long. The record is from RefSeq and is a predicted model, not a curated record. Lineage: Eukaryota; Metazoa; Chordata; Mammalia; Artiodactyla; Camelidae.